UUUUACCAUCUGCCAAGAAUGACCUGGAGUCAUUCCCAUGUUUGCCCAGGCGCUCCCAGCUGACCUCACCAAUGCCAGCCAGGUGCACCCACAGGAUGAUGAUGACUG
Chelonoidis abingdonii (Abingdon island giant tortoise) is the source of this 108-nucleotide non-coding RNA. The record is from RefSeq and is a predicted model, not a curated record. Lineage: Eukaryota; Metazoa; Chordata; Testudines; Testudinidae.